UACGAAGGGGGCUAGCGUUGCUCGGAAUCACUGGGCGUAAAGCGCACGUAGGCGGAUUGUUAAGUCAGGGGUGAAAUCCUGGAGCUCAACUCCAGAACUGCCUUUGAUACUGGCGAUCUUGAGUCCGGGAGAGGUGAGUGGAACUCCGAGUGUAGAGGUGAAAUUCGUAGAUAUUCGCAAGAACACCGGUGGCGAAGGCGGCCAACUGGACGAAUACUGACGCUGAGACACGAAAGCGUGGGGAGCAAACAGG
RNAcentral lists this ribosomal RNA (253 nucleotides) under uncultured bacterium. RNAcentral describes it as "partial 16S ribosomal RNA". It matches the Rfam family "Bacterial small subunit ribosomal RNA", at positions 524 to 776 of the family's 1533-position model. The record is from RNAcentral.